UUAGGGUCACAGAAGCAAGGGUGGAAAUCGUAGGGAGAUACAGAGAGCUAAUUCUCUGUUUUUCUACCCUGCCAUUCCUUCCUUUGGGCUGACAGCCGUUCAUCAGCCAUUUUCUAUUCUAUUCUUCUGAAGACCUCUUUUAGUGACUGCAAAUAAAUUGCCUGUCUGCCCAUCUGCUCCCCAUCUAAAUGCAACUGUGAAUGUGGACAUUUGGGAUGGAAUAUUGGGGGUCUUCGAUUCAGGUGUGGAUGGAUGGACAAGUCCUGAUCAUCUGUGGUUUAAGAUGUGGAAUUAAAAGGCAGAUGGAAUUCGACAAGAGGGACAGAACUGAAAACAGUCAUCUGGGGGGCUGAACCCUGAGGAAGAUGUGGAGCCUGAGUUCCCUCAUGUAUGAUACAUUCUCAGUGACUUAUUCCAUGGCACACCUCCUCCUUUUCCUUCCCUGCUUUCUGGAACCUCUGGAAAUUUCCACUCUUUGCUCCAGCAACAGCCAGUAGCAGCCGGAGAAGCCAGCCCAAAGCGCUCCCUGCUCACGCGCAGCUGACCCUCCAAGCACUGUUGGUAUUUUCUCCCUUCAAGGGCCUCAUCAGAGUUAGUGGAGCUGGGGGCCUCUUUGCAGGGUCUGCUACACAUGCAAGGCCAGAUGCUCCCUGCUUGCCCUCUGGGGCCAAUUGGAGAGUUUGUAUAAGGAAUGUUUGUUCAGAAAUCAUACUGCUUGCUCUGUGUUACCUUGUAGUGUUUGCUCCUGCUUUUUGCUUUUCUGGUAUGGAAAUUUAACAUGUGUAUAUAGUCUCAUUAUUUUAACUCACAUAAACAUUAUCUACAGCCAGAUUUGCAUUUUAUGUCUUGGAUACUUGUCACUGCUGCUUUUAAAAAACACAUUCAUAAUCAUUUUCAGAGUCUUUUCAAGUAUUUUAAUCUACUCAAGCAUUGUUCUUUACUAAACUGAAUGGGAAUUUUUUUGUUUAGGAAAGGCAGAAAUGUUGCCAUUUCCCUCUUUUAGUGUUUUCUGGAAAUUUCCUCUUACAUACUUCUGGUGAAAAAAAAAAAAAAAGAUAAAAAGAGAGAGACAGGAACCACAAAGUAAAAUGUGCUCAGAAACUCAUGCUUUAAAAGUGCUAUGAAUAUUGUGUUAUAUGACUUAAUUUGUUUUAAUUGUGAAAGAUUCACAAAAACAUUCAUUUAUGUAAAUGGGAAACUAAGAUUCCCACUCUGAAUGCAAAGACCAGACACUUUUUAUUGUGCUAGUAUGAAUUUUUUUGUGCUGUUUGCUUUUAUCCUUACCCAAAAGCUGUAUACAUUGGUUGGAGCCUGUGAUCACUUCCACCUCAUUUUGUAAAUGUCCGUAUGUUAUUUGUACAGAUAGCCUAUUAUAUACAUAUAUAUAUAUAUACAUAUAUAAAAUUUUCUUCCUUUUUUUCAGUGAGUAGCAAAAUUGUUUUCAAUGACAUAAAAAGUUCUAUUCAAAUUAUGUGUUCAUACAUCUGUUACCGGAGAAGGCAGUGGCACCCCACUCCAGUAUUUUGCCUGGAAAAUCCCAUGGACGGAGGAGCCUGGUAGGCUGCAGUCCAUGGGGUCGCUAAGAGUCGGACACGACUGAACGACUUCGCUUUCACUUUUCUCUUUCAUGCGUUGGAGAAGGAAAUGGCAACCCACUCCAGUGUUCUUGCCUGGAGAAUCCCAGGGACGGGGGAGCCUGGUGGCUGCCGUCUAUGGGGUCACACAGAGUCGGACACAACUGAAGUGACUUAGCAUAGCAUAGCAUAGCAUACAUACAUCUGUUACAGGCAAUACAUAUUUUUGUAAUCUGAUCAUAUAGAAAUAGAAUUCUAGUCUUUUAUCUACUUCUCUUUGACAAUUACCAUAAGGUUAAAAACAGUUUUAUGCUUGUGACUUUUUAGGAUUAUCAUUUUUGAUAAUCCUUGAUUUAGUCAAUUAUUUGUCCACCUUUCUAUGAUUUAGCUGAUUCAUCAAUGCCCACUAUUUCAGACUGAACCUUUGACACCUCUCUGUCAUAGUUUGUUGUGAAUAGGCUGCUGAGUGUCCUAGAGAGUGUAGAUGGGAUUCUUCAGCAUGGGAUGAACAGGGAUUUCCUCAUUAGAAACCACUAAGAGAAACAAAAUCAAGAAGAGGGUAGAAAAGACAUCCAAGGCUCUAACAAGGAGACUAGGAUUUAUUUGAGGGCAUUCAGUGCAAAUGAUAUGAAUCCCAGGAGGACUGUGCUGAAAGGAACACACUACUCCUCACAGUGUGCAUCUCUGAGAUUCAAUAUCUUAUGUCUGCUCUGCAAGUAAUGACAUCCUUGACCUAAUAACCUAAAAAGUAAUCUGGGGGGAAUAUUUGACUCCAAUUUAUGAGUUGUGAGCAAUAAACAGAGCAAAAGUAUUGAUAUUUUAUGGAUAUAUUUUACUACAAAGUGUGUGCCUGCAUUCAGGGCACUGAGGGCCAAUACUCUAAACAGAGAAUUCAAAGGUCAGAUCUUGGUCAAAAAUUGCCCUUCACCAUCACAAUGUUGGAGCCUGUCACCAUUAAUUUUCCUGUUUAUGAAUAGCAACCUUAUGUUUCAUGCAAGCCACAUAGAAUGUGGCAUUUAUGUACCAAAUGGCAAAGAUGGUUCCCCAAUUUAAGGAAACUGGAGGGUUUUUUGGAAACAAAAGCAAUAAGUCUUACUGAUGUCUCUCUUUUUUAUAUAAUUUUAUUUAUUUUUGUCUAUGUUGAGUCUUCGGUGCUUUGCACAGGUUUUCUCAAGUUGUGGCAAGUAGAGGCUGCUCUUUAUUAUGUUGCAGGUGGUUCUCAAUGUUGUGACUUCUCUUGUUGCAUAACACAGGCUCUAGGCAUGGGGGCUUCAGUAACUGCAGUACGCAGGAUUGUAGUUGCAGUUUUGGGCUCUAGAGCAAGGGCUCAAUAGUUGUGGUUUACCGGCUUAGUUGUUCCAUGUCAUAUGGAAUCCUCCUGAACCAGGGGUCAAAUCUAUCCCCUGCGUUGGCAGACAGCCAACUUAUCCACUGCACCACAGGGAAGUCUUGAUUUCUCUUUAAAAAAGGAAAAAGAUGAUGGUGUUGGCCUUUAUAAAUAGAAAACUCUUCUUGAUUUUUUUGUAACUUUAUCAGCCACAUAUAAUAAGAAAUAGUUUAAAAGGCAGAUUAAGCUCCCUAUAAGAGGCCCAACCCACUUAUGCAUAGUGUUUCCUUCAUCUCUAUUGGGUAGUCUUUCACACUUGGGCUUGUAGCAAGAUGGCCAUGAUAUGAAAACCUCUGUUUUUUUGCAUUCAGAAAAUAUUAAAGGGUUGAGAGUCAAGUUUGAGUGACUUUUUCUGUGUCUUUUCUUUUUCCUGAACUACUCCUGUUGUUCUGUGAUCCACAUCCUAGUGGAACAGUGAUACACAUAGCAACCCUAUCUGCAUGGAGAGGGCACUGGACUUGGGAACAAAUUGAUAAGGUGAACUGAAAUAGGUCUUAUGGGAAUCAGUGUGCAGUGUCUCUCACAGUUUCCUCUUCUGCCUCUGGGAAAUAUUCCAGACAGUGCCAUAUUUCAUGUUCAUUUUUCAUCUUAAUGUGAGCCUAAAAUGUGACCGGUGAUUUAAAAAAUAGAAGAAAGAACCCUGGGGAUUGACUGUGAGGCAAUUUUGCCAUGUGUUAGAUUAAAGACUGCUAGGCAGUUAUUGAAUAUAUGAUGUCAUUGUAUGCCCCAAGACAAGAACAACAAUGACCACCUCAUUGAGAUUUGUGGGAAUUAAAUAUGUUAAUAACGAUAAUUAGCACUCACAUAUAUUCAAUGAAUAUGUAUUGUUGUUUUCUGAGGGCAACUAUGUCUUAAGUUGGUGAGCAACAGUAUAGAAAGAAAAAAACACAGAGAACAAUGUACCUUCUUUAUUCAUCUCCCAGUUGGCUAAAAGUUACUGCUUGAUUCUGGAUGUAGAGUCAGGAGGGAAUUUUGAAUAGUCAUCUAGACAGAUGGGCAUGAGAAAUUGAUUUAUGACUGCUCACACAGAAAAUUUGUAUGCCCAAGUGUGGUUGUGGAGUUAUUAAUACCUACCAGAGAUGGAACGUGUGCUAAGACCUAGUCCUCACACUCAGGAGCUCCACAGUAAGAACAUUUACAGCUCCUAGAAACAUGCUUGACUAAACAGAUAUAUUAUAUUGGAUAUUAAAUAUAGUAUUAAUACCAAUAGAUUAUCACCUCUGAAUUUCAAAAUAUCAUAUUGGAACUCUCAUUACUAUUGUACAGACCAGAAAUCAGAGGCACAGGCAAGUUAAGAAACUCUCCCAAAGCCACACAGAAAAUUGCAAGAUUGGGAAAUCAAUCCAGGCAGCAGUAUUUCAUAGGUCUUAUUCCUCCAUAUGAAAACCCACUGGCAUCAGCAUGUAAAUAGCAAAAAAAAAAAAAAAAAGGAAAUUUUAAAUGUUUUUUAUCCACCUGUCUUUAACUAAGGCUCUUGGUUUUAUUCUCCUUUUCUUUAGAGGCACAUUCUUUGAGCAACACAAUGAAAACUGCCCUGAUAUAGACAAUACCCCUCUCAAAAUACACCUCUACACAAAAGAUGGCCUCAAGCUGUGACCAAUAAUAGCAAGAGGCAGCCUGCAAACUCAAAUAACCUAUCAUAUUGUAUUUACUGGAAUGUCAAGAUUUCCAAAGUAAAAUAUGAGAUCUAAGCAUUUCCCCCCAUCAAAAAAUACAAAGUAGCAGUAAAGAGAUUUUAAUCAAUAAUAUACUGUUGCUAUAAGGAAGGAGGUCCACUGUGAACUGAACUCAGUUUCUAUUUGUGUAGAAGUGAACAGGCAUUUUAAAGAGAGAAUGGGGGAAAGAGAGGGAGGUGAGUAAGGGCUCAGUAGAAUUAGGGAUGGGAACAAACAACAAAGGGUUGGUUCCUGUAAAUGUGAUUAGGUCAGCUGUGUUUGCAAGCUGACAGUUAUUUAAGUUGAGAUGUUAUCCUCCCACAGAGACUUGUAGAUGAAAGCCCUAUCCUUCCUAAUUUAAUUUCAAAGGAAUGGUGUUCAGGUCCUUGACAAAGAUUUCCAAGACUAGAAAGAGAUGCAUAUAUAUCUCAAAGGGACAGAGAAAAGAUCCAAAAUUGUAAGCUCCUUUUAGUAAAUACUGUAAGAAAAUGGGAUCAAUUAUGGGCUAGAACAUACAGUAUAUUUUUGGCAGCUUUGAGUCACCCUAGGGAUUGAGCUGUUAGAAACCAUGAUUAAUAUUUGUUUAAGUCUUUUAAUGUGUGUGUGCAUGGGCGGGGGGUGGAUAGACAAAAUCCUUUGUAUGGAAAGUCUGUAGUUUUCAUAGGCCAAGAUGAAGUCUAAUUGAGAAGGCUCAGAGGAACCUGGCUAGGAUUGGGUCAGAGAACUUUCAUCAGUAUUAAAAAAUAGCAUUACAUUCUAGAAUUCAUAUGGAAUCUCAACAGACCCCAAAUAGUCAAAAUGAUCUCAAAAAGAGGACAAAGUCGAAGGUCUCAUACUUCCUGAUUCCAAAAAUUAUCCCAAAUCCACAAUAAUUAAAAGAGUGUGGUACUAGCAUAAAGACAGUCAUAUGGGCUAAUGGAAUAGAAUAGAGAGUUUAGGAAUAAACCCUUGCAUAUAUGGUCAAAUGAUCUUUGACAAGGUUUCCAAGACCAUUUAACUGGGGAAAGGCAGCCUUUAAAAAAAGAUGAUGGAAAAAAUUUGUUAUCCAAGUUCAAAAGUUUAAAGGUUAACUCUGAUCUUAUGCCAUAUACAAAAUCAUUUCCAAAUGGAUCAAAGAUGUAGAUGUAAGGUUGAAAACUAUCAAACUCCUUGAAGAAAACAUAGGGGGAAAUCCUAAUAAUGUUUGAUUUGGCAAUGAUUUAUUGGAUAUGAUACCAAAAGCACAUGCACAAAAACAAAAAUUGAAGAACUGGAGUAUAACAAAAUUAAAAACCCUGUGCAUUAAAGGCACAAUCAAUAGACUGAAAAUACAACCUAUGGAAUGGGAAUCUGCAAAUCAUAUCUGAUAAGACAUUAGUCUAGAAUACAAAUAGCCCUUGCAAUUCAACAAUAUCAAAACAAGUAACCUGAUUAAGAAAUAUGCAAAUGACUUGAAAAGUUAUCCAAAUAAGAUAUGCAAAUAUCCAACAAGCACAUGAAAAUAUGUUAAACAUAAUUAGUCAUUAGGUAGAUUCAAAUUCAAACCACAGUGACUUACCACCUCGUGGCUAUCAGAAUGACUACUAUAAAUCAAGCAAACACAUAUACAGAAAAUGACGUGUUGGUGAGAUGUGGAGAAAUGAGAAUCUUUGUGCAGUCUUAGUGGAAAUAUAAAGUGGUACAAUUGUUAUAAAAGUAAAGUAGUCAUUUACUCAAAAAAGUUUAAUAUAGAAUUAUAAUUCCAUAAUUCUGUAUAUAUCUAAAACAAUUGAAAGCAAGCUCUUGAAGAGAUCUCUGUCUACCCAUGUUUAUUGUAAUAUUAUUCCCAAUAGCCAAAAGAGUAGAGCAGCAAAAGUGUCUAUCAACAAAUGAGAGGAUAAUGAAAAUGUAGUUUACACAAUCAAGGGAGCAUUAUUCAGCCUUCAAAGAAAGGCAAUUUUGAUUCACAAGAUGGGUGAACCUUGAGGACACUAUGCUAAGUGAAAUAAACCAAAAGAUAAAUACUGUAUGAAUCUGAUUAUACAAAGUAACCAUUAAAUUCAUAAAGAAAAUUCCCUGGUAGUUUUCAGGGGCUGGAAGGAGGGCGAAAUGGAGAAUUGUUGUUUAAUGUGCAUAGAGAUUAAACUAAUUUUAGAGAUUGAUUGUACAAAACUAUGAAUAUACUUAAGUAAACUUAAGUUAACUUUAAGUGAAUUUAAAGAGAGUUAAGAUGGUAGAGUUUAUACUACGUGUAGUUUACCACAAUUAUGAUUUUUUUACAAUUUAAUUUUAAGAUAAUAUUGCUACCUAUUGAAAUGAAUAGAUAGGCAGAUAGAUCUCAGCUACUAAGUGUCUAGGUUCAGUAUUCAAACUUGGUGGAGCAAUCUGGCUGUUAGAUGAAAAAGAUACACGGAACAUGCAGAUUUUGGCAACAGAUGAGUAACAAGAAAAACUCAAAAAAUAACAAAAGCCAAAACAUAUAUAAUGUGGAUGAUUCCUGAUUGUUGACUCCACUGUGAUGUUAAGUGGUCACAGAGCAGCCUCUUGAAAGCUUAUUUCCAUAUAUCCUGUUAACAGUAGUUGCCAAUUGGAUGCUGAGCACCUUGUUCAUGAGUUCUGUACUUGUCCCACCUGGAAAACAAGACCUAGAAUGUAAGGCCCUUGGAGAUACUGAAUUCUAUUUGACCUUUCUCUUAUAUACCCACAGAACCUAGAAUAUUUCCUCUGACCUUACAGGUGAAAACACCUCGAUGUUGAAUUAUAUAGAGAAAAUACACUGAUUUGAAUUUGAAGAAUAGAGAUUAUAGCAUAGACAGAAAAUUCAUUAUUAAUAGCUACAAUUUUCAUUUUCAUCUUGGUUGCCACGUAUGCAGUUUGAAAAGUUAUUUAUAUUGAAAUUAAAAUUCAAUUUAACUUAAUUUAAAAUUGAAUUUAGAUAUAAAUAACCUAUUUAUCUGACAUAAAUUUAAAAAUAAAAAUUUUUAAUGACUUUAUUUUCAUAGAAGCUAAAUGAAACUUUUUAUUUUUAGUGUUUUACUUACAAGUUGAAUAUUAUCCUUGUCACUGUUCUUUCUGGCCUUCUUGAGGUCAAGUUGCCCUCCACUGGAACCUAUCUCCUUAGGAGCACUCUAAUGUGUUUAGGGAUUCCUAAAGAUUUAAAUCACAGGCUACUUGAGUUGUCUGUUUUUUUCUUUCUCCAUCACAAAUUUGUGUCAUAUUUAUUACUGUUUUUACACUUCCUACCUAUUUGCUCAUCAUUGACUUUUAAAAUGAAGACUAUUAAAUGGGAGUAGAACCACUGAGAAAUAUUUAAAAUUAAAAAGUCAUACUGGGGAAUAGUAAAGCUGAACCUAAGCUCAGAUAAUUUUACUAAUCCAAGAGAAAAGUAUCUAAGAAUGACCUGUUAUCAGGCAGUAAGUUUCUUAAGUGAGACAUUGACUGAGUUAUUAAUAGUUAUUCAGUUCAGUUCAGUGUCUCAGUCGUGUCCAACUUUUUUUGACCCCACGGACUACAGCAGGCCAGCCUUCUCUGGCCAUUACCAACUCCCAGAGCCUACUCAAACUCAUGUCCAUCACGUUGGUGAUGCCAUCCAACCAUCUCAUCCUCUGCCAUCCCCUUCUCCUCCUGCCUUCAAUCUUUCCCAGCAUAAGGGUCUUUUCCAAAGAGUUGGUUCUUUGCAACAGGUCGCCAAAGUAUUGGAGUUUCAGCUUUAGCAUCAGUCCUUCCAAUGAACACCAAGGACUGAUCUCCUUUAGGAUGGACUGGUUGGAUCUCCUUGCAGUCCAGGAGACUCUCAAAAGUCUUCUCCAACACCACAGUUCAAAAGCAUCAAUUCUUCAGUGAUCUGCUUUCUUUAUAGUCCAACUCUCAAAUCCAUACAUGACCACUGGAAAAACCAUAGCCUUGACUAGACAGACCUUUGUCAGCAAAGUAAUGUCUCUGCUUUUUAAUAUGCUGUCUAGGUUGGUCAUAACUUUCUUUCCAAGGAGUAAGUGUCUUUUAAUUUCAUGGCUGCACUCACCAUCUGCAGUGAUUUUGGAGCCCCAAAAAGUAAAGUCAGUUGUCACUCUUUCCACUGUUUCCCCAUCUAUUUGCCAUGAAGGGAUGGGACCAGAUGCCAUGAUCUUAGUUUUCUGAAUGUUGAGCUUUAAGCCAAUAAUUAAUAAUAUAAUUAAUAUUUAUUAAAGUGUUAUAUUAAUUUGCAAGAGAUAUAAAAAACUUUCACACAUCAGGUGAAUAAACAGUAGAAAUUAAUUUUCUUACAGUUCUGGAGGCUAGAAGGCCAAUAUCAAGGUAUUAAGAAAUUUGGGUUCUUCUGAGGUCUCUUCUUUGACCUGCCUUCUUACUGUGACCUCACCUGAUCUUUUUCCUUUGUGUAUUUAUAUGUCUUCUUCCCUGUGUAUGUUAGCAUUCUUGAUAUCUCUUUGCACAUCCAAAUGUUCUUUACUUAUAAAAACCAGUAAAAUUGGAUUAAAGCAUACCCUAAUGGUCUUAGUUUUACUUAAUCACUUUUUAAAGGCCUUGAAAUGCAUUCACAUUCUGAGAUGCCAGGGUUAGAUCUUCAGCAUAUGAAUUUGAGAGAGACACGAUUCAGCCCAUAACAAGUACAAAUACAGAUUUUAAGGCUACAGAAAUAAGGGAAGACCUACCCAGAGGUAAAUAUGUUCAAGGGUAUGGUAAGAAUAAAAAGAGUGGCCUGUUUAUAAAACUGUCAGUGGGCAUAGGGACAAGAGAUAAAUCUAAUCCUAUAUGCUAGACUUUUAUCAUUUCAUCUCUAUGACGGAGACAUAAACUGAAAGAUCUACUAUGGAAAAGAGAUAAUUAUAUUUUACCAUUUGUAGAGGAGGCUACAAAUUUAAAGAAGGAAAUACUGAAAAUAAGGAGAUUGAUGCAACAACCCACCUAUUUUUAAGUUGGGCUUAUUAAGCUGAAAUCCAUCCUUUUCCAGUUUAAUGUAUUUCAAAAUUUACAUGAACUCAUGCAACCACAUACAAUUAAUAUUAUAAUUAAGAACAGUUUUCAUUACUCCCUGAGUUUCUGUCAUGCCCUUUUGUAGUAAUCCUAUGGACAGUCUUGGAAUUUAUUAAUCAUAUCUAACUUGAUUGCUUAGCCUUUUCCAAGUCUUAUAAAUGAAACCAUUUUGUAUGCAAUAUUUUCUGUUUAGUUUUUCCCACUUACAAUAAUGCUUUUGAGCCUCAUUCAUAUUUUUACACAUGUCAGUAGUUUGUUACUUUUAAAUUCUGCAUUGCAUUUUUUUUGAGUAAUUGUACUAGAAUUUAUUCACCUUUUUUAACCACUUCAUGGGUAAUAAGGUCAUUUCCAGGUCUGGAUUAUUAGAAACACAGUUUCUAUAUGCACUUAGAUACAGCAUUUUGUGGACAUAUACUUUCAGUUUUCAUGAGAAUAUGUCUAAUUUCAAGGUUGCUGGAUCAUAUAAUAAAUGUAUGAUGUGCUUCACAAAAAACUGUCAAACCCUUUUCCCAAGUUGAUGUACCAUUUCACAUUUUCAAAGCAAACUCUGAAAAUUCUAGUUGCUCCACAGCUUCCCUAGCAUUUAAUAUUGACAGUAUAUUUUAAAACUUUUUCAAUGGUAAUAAUAACCCUGUAUACGAGAAAGAAAAAGAGACACUGAUGUAUAGAACAGUCUUUUGGACUCUGUGGGAAAGGGU
This 10243-nucleotide long non-coding RNA is filed under the name Bos indicus x Bos taurus (hybrid cattle). The record is from RNAcentral. Lineage: Eukaryota; Metazoa; Chordata; Mammalia; Artiodactyla; Bovidae.